Molecule: ribosomal RNA, 292 nt
Filed under: uncultured bacterium
Lineage: Bacteria
Description: partial 16S ribosomal RNA
Rfam family: Bacterial small subunit ribosomal RNA
Source: RNAcentral
GUGUCAGCAGCCGCGGUAAUACGGAGGGUGCAAGCGUUGUUCGGAAUUAUUGGGCGUAAAGAGCGUGUAGGCGGCCGGGUAAGUCAGAUGUGAAAUCCUUCUGCUUAACAGAAGAAGUGCAUUUGAUACUGUCCGGCUUGAGUACGGGAGAGGAAAGUGGAAUUCCCGGUGUAGAGGUGAAAUUCGUAGAUAUCGGGAGGAACACCGGUGGCGAAGGCGGCUUUCUGGUCCGAUACUGACGCUGAGACGCGAAAGCGUGGGGAGCAAACAGGAUUAGAAACCCUCGUAGUCC